RNAcentral lists this ribosomal RNA (487 nucleotides) under uncultured bacterium. RNAcentral's name for it is "partial 16S ribosomal RNA". It matches the Rfam family "Bacterial small subunit ribosomal RNA", at positions 28 to 507 of the family's 1533-position model. The record is from RNAcentral.
GACGAACGCUGGCGGCGUGCUUAACACAUGCAAGUCGAACGGGAUACGGGCUUUCGGGCCUGGAGAGAGCGGCGAACGGGUGAGUAACACGUAAGAAACCGGCUGGCAGCGUUGGAUUACCGUCGGGAAAUCGGCCCUAAAACGGGAAAUUCUUGCUGCAUCGAGUGGGGGGGCUUGGGAAGGGACGCUGGCGGAGGAUGGUCUUGCGGCGUAUCAGCUUGUUGGGGGGGUGGUGGCCUACCAAGGCGAUGAUGAGUAGCUGGCCUGGGAGGAUGAGCGGUCACACUGGAACUGAGACACGGUCCAGACUCCUACGGGAGGCAGCAGUGGGGAAUAUUGGACAAUGGGCGAAAGCCUGAUCCAGCCAUGCCGCGUGUGUGAAGAAGGUCUUCGGAUUGUAAAGGACUUCACGUUGGGAGGAAGGGCAGUAAGUUAAUAUCUUGCUGUUUUGAGGUUACCAACAGAAGAAGCACCGGCUAACUUCGUG